This 482-nucleotide ribosomal RNA is filed under the name uncultured bacterium. RNAcentral's name for it is "partial 16S ribosomal RNA". It matches the Rfam family "Bacterial small subunit ribosomal RNA", at positions 28 to 523 of the family's 1533-position model. The record is from RNAcentral.
GACGAACGCUGGCGGCGUGCUUAACACAUGCAAGUCGAACGAUGAACUGGAGCUUGCUCCAGGGAUUAGUGGCGAACGGGUGAGUAACACGUGAGUAACCUGCCCUUGACUCUGGGAUAAGCGCUAGAAAUGGCGUCUAAUACCGGAUACGAGCUUCAGCCGCAUGGCUAGGAGUUGGAAAGAAUUUUGGUCAAGGAUGGACUCGCGGCCUAUCAGCUAGUUGGUGAGGUAAUGGCUCACCAAGGCGACGACGGGUAGCCGGCCUGAGAGGGUGACCGGCCACACUGGGACUGAGACACGGCCCAGACUCCUACGGGAGGCAGCAGUGGGGAAUAUUGCACAAUGGGCGAAAGCCUGAUGCAGCAACGCCGCGUGAGGGAUGACGGCCUUCGGGUUGUAAACCUCUUUUAGUAGGGAAGAAGCGAAAGUGACGGUACCUGCAGAAAAAGCACCGGCUAACUACGUGCCAGCCGCCGCGGUAA